This 246-nucleotide long non-coding RNA is filed under the name Gossypium barbadense (sea-island cotton). Its description in RNAcentral is "long non-coding RNA (GBAR_LNC005306)". The record is from RNAcentral. Lineage: Eukaryota; Viridiplantae; Streptophyta; Magnoliopsida; Malvales; Malvaceae.
AUUACAUGUUUAUGCAGAAACCCAACCAUAUCCAACCGUAUACACCCCCGUACCAACCUUACACCGUGUGGGGAGACAACUCGACCCACCCAACCGCUACACACCACAGAAUUUACAGCAUGGCUGCCAGAACAGAUAAUGUGACAGAGUCACCAGAUACAGAUAAUCGUGGCAGAGCCACCAGAACAGAUAUAUGUGGCAGAGCCACCAGAUCAAAUAUUUGUGGCAUAGCCACCAGAACGCUUC